GGACGACUAGCUCAGCUGGUCAGAGCAUCUCGUUUACACCGAGAGGGUCAUAGGUUCGAAUCCUAUGUCGUCCA
This 74-nucleotide transfer RNA is filed under the name Candidatus Microgenomates bacterium. Its description in RNAcentral is "tRNA-Val". It matches the Rfam family "tRNA". From Rfam's summary of the family: Transfer RNA (tRNA) molecules are approximately 80 nucleotides in length. The record is from RNAcentral. Lineage: Bacteria; Candidatus Microgenomatota.